GUGUCAGCAGCCGCGGUAAUACGAAGGUCCCAAGCGUUGUUCGGAUUUACUGGGCGUAAAGAGUCUGUAGGCGGCGGGGUAAGUCAGAUGUGAAAUCCCGGGGCUCAACCCCGGAACUGCAUCCGAUACUGCCUUGCUAGAGUAUUGGAGGGGAGCCUGGAAUUCUCGGUGUAGCAGUGAAAUGCGUAGAUAUCGAGAGGAACACUAGUGGCGAAGGCGAGGCUCUGGACAAUUACUGACGCUGAGAGACGAAGGCCAGGGGAGCGAAAAGGAUUAGAUACCCUUGUAGUCC
RNAcentral lists this ribosomal RNA (292 nucleotides) under uncultured bacterium. RNAcentral's name for it is "partial 16S ribosomal RNA". It matches the Rfam family "Bacterial small subunit ribosomal RNA", at positions 505 to 796 of the family's 1533-position model. The record is from RNAcentral.